GAUGAACGCUGGCGGCGUGCCUAAUACAUGCAAGUCGAGCGAACGGACGAGAAGCUUGCUUCUCUGAUGUUAGCGGCGGACGGGUGAGUAACACGUGGAUAACCUACCUAUAAGACUGGGAUAACUUCGGGAAACCGUAGCUAAUACCGGAUAAUAUUUUGAACCGCAUGGUUCAAAAGUGAAAGACGGUCUUGCUGUCACUUAUAGAUGGAUCCGCGCUGCAUUAGCUAGUUGGUAAGGCAAAGGCUUACCAAGGCAACGAUGCAUAGCCGACCUGAGAGGGUGAUCGGCCACACUGGAACUGAGACACGGUCCAGACUCCUACGGGAGGCAGCAGUAGGGAAUCUUCCGCAAUGGGCGAAAGCCUGACGGAGCAACGCCGCGUGAGUGAUGAAGGUCUUCGGAUCGUAAAACUCUGUUAUUAGGGAAGAACAUAUGUGUAAGUAACUGUGCACAUCUUGACGGUACCUAAUCAGAAAGCCACGGCUAACUACGUG
This 497-nucleotide ribosomal RNA is filed under the name uncultured bacterium. Its description in RNAcentral is "partial 16S ribosomal RNA". It matches the Rfam family "Bacterial small subunit ribosomal RNA", at positions 28 to 507 of the family's 1533-position model. The record is from RNAcentral.